UACGACCACAUCACGUUGAAACACAACUUCCCGUCCGAUCGCCGAAGUUAAGCAAUGUCGAGCCUGAUUGAUAUCUACAUGGGUGACCGCUUGAGAAUACCAGGUGCUGUAAG
Non-coding RNA from Acanthosepion pharaonis, 113 nucleotides. The record is from the annotation of a GenBank genome assembly. Lineage: Eukaryota; Metazoa; Mollusca; Cephalopoda; Sepiida; Sepiidae.